Molecule: ribosomal RNA, 497 nt
Filed under: uncultured bacterium
Lineage: Bacteria
Description: partial 16S ribosomal RNA
Rfam family: Bacterial small subunit ribosomal RNA
Source: RNAcentral
GAUGAACGCUGGCGGCGUGCCUAAUACAUGCAAGUCGAGCGAACAGACGAGGAGCUUGCUCCUCUGACGUUAGCGGCGGACGGGUGAGUAACACGUGGAUAACCUACCUAUAAGACUGGGAUAACUUCGGGAAACCGGAGCUAAUACCGGAUAAUAUAUUGAACCGCAUGUUUCAAUAGUGAAAGACGGUUUUGCUGUCACUUAUAGAUGGAUCCGCGCCGCAUUAGCUAGUUGGUAAGGUAACGGCUUACCAAGGCAACGAUGCGUAGCCGACCUGAGAGGGUGAUCGGCCACACUGGAACUGAGACACGGUCCAGACUCCUACGGGAGGCAGCAGUAGGGAAUCUUCCGCAAAGGGCGAAAGCCUGACGGAGCAACGCCGCGUGAGUGAUGAAGGUCUUCGGAUCGUAAAACUCUGUUAUUAGGGAAGAACAAAUGUGUAAGUAACUAUGCACGUCUUGACGGUACCUAAUCAGAAAGCCACGGCUAACUACGUG